UUGUGAACCAAGUUAUUCAAAGACCAACCGUAUUGGUAGGGAACUCUGUCGGAAGCCUUGCUUGUGUAAUAGCUGCUGCAGAUCCUUCUCAAACAUCCAUUCAAGGUCUUGUUUUGUUGAACUGUGCUGGAGGCAUGAAUAACAAGGCAAUUGUUGACGAUUGGAGGAUUAAGUUGCUAUCGCCUUUACUCUGGCUUGUUGACUUCUUAUUGAGCCAAAAACCAAUAGCUUCUUCAAUCUUUACUCGGGUCAAACAGAGAGAAAAUCUAAAGAAUAUAUUGUUGUCUGUCUAUGGUAACAAGGAGUCUGUGGAUGAAGAUCUGGUGGACAUUAUUCGAACACCAGCAGAUUCUGAAGGUGCGCUUGAUGCUUUUGUAUCCAUUGUGACAGGUCCACCAGGGCCUAACCCAGUGCAGUUGAUCCCAAAAAUGACAUUGCCUAUACUUGUGUUAUGGGGUGAUCAAGAUCCAUUUACUCCGAUCGAUGGCCCUGUUGGUAGAUACUUCUCAUCCUUACCUUCUCAAAAACCAAAUGUGAGUUUAUUCCUUUUAGAAGGUGUGGGACAUUGCCCUCAUGAUGACAGACCUGAUCUUGUCCAUGAGAAGCUGCUUCCUUGGUUAAGCAAUUUACCAGUGGCAGAUAAUGUUGUUACAUGAUUAUCCUUUUUUGAUAUGUUAUACUAUUUUUAUUGAUCUUCAUGUAUAGAUGAUAUUGACUUGUAAAUCAUGUCACAAAGAAUACAUUUG
RNAcentral lists this unclassified non-coding RNA (746 nucleotides) under Hevea brasiliensis (rubber tree). Lineage: Eukaryota; Viridiplantae; Streptophyta; Magnoliopsida; Malpighiales; Euphorbiaceae. The record is from RNAcentral.